Chiroxiphia lanceolata (lance-tailed manakin) is the source of this 1551-nucleotide long non-coding RNA. RefSeq lists it as uncharacterized. NCBI's taxonomy places the organism in Eukaryota, Metazoa, Chordata, Aves, Passeriformes, Pipridae. The record is from RefSeq and is a predicted model, not a curated record. The transcript is spliced from 3 exons.
CCAGCGCCGGUCCCGCCUCCCGUGGCCCGCCGUGGCCCCUGCCCUCACCUCGGGGUCCCUUUCUCACCUCGGGAUCUCUCCCUCACCUCAGGGUUUCUUCUUCAUCUCUGGGUCUCUCCCUCACCUCGGAGUCCCUUCCUCACCUCGGGAUCUCUCCCUCAUCGGGGUUCCCGCCCUCACCCGGGGUCCCUCUGCCCUCAGGGCCGUUCCCUCCCUCACCCGGGGUCUCUCCCUCGCCCGGGGUCCCUCUCUCCCCUCAGGGCCGUUCCCCCUCACCCUUGGCCGCCUCCCCGGCGGGAAGGGGCGCCGAGAGCUGCGGUCGGAGCUGCCCCUCACGGCCCCGGGGCUGUGCCCGCAGCUGCCAAAGGUGAGGACGCGGCGCUGGCUCGGCUCGUCCCCAGAGGGCAGGCACUGAUGUCAUGAGAAGGAAGCACAUAACCAGAGCUGUGCGAAGCACUCGCAAUAAAACCCCAAACCAUGGAAAACUUGCCUCAUCUGUAACUCCACUAGCAGGAAAGUAGAACCAGCUAAAAAUUGUUACUAUCCCAUGGCUGCUGAUGAGGAAGGAGCUGCACUAUUCAUCCUCCUUCAUAGUAAACAAGAAUCCACUGCAAAACCUGAAGUUUUCAUCUCAAGGAGAAUCGCAAAAUGAUUGUUUUUAAAGCUGAUGCUGCUCUUUAAUACAGAGCAACUGUUGAUACCAAAGCAGAUGCUCCUCCUGGGAUCCCAUGGACCACUCACAGCAGGCUGCAACUACCAGAGCUCUUUCUCACGACACCUCCCUCCUGGCCAGCAAGUUCUGCACGUAUUCCAGAUCCUCUGGACUGCUUUGUCACAGAUAUUUGACAACAUUUUGUUUCUUCUGGAACUCCACGCACAUUUAAAACUUUUAUUCCCACUCCUCCUAAAAGUCCCAUCCCUCCUUUUCUUCUUUUCUCUGUUUGAACUCGACUAAUGGUGGGAAAGGAGGGACGGGUUGCAGUUUGUUUUGGGUAGGUGGCUCUGGCUCUCCCUGUGACAAGUGUGUGUAUUGCAGAGUGAGAUCUCGGCUUCACUGACAGAGAGUUUUCUUAGCCCGUCCUGUCUGUGUAUUUUAUGUACACAGACACUCUGGUCCUGCAGAGGAGAGGUGCAAAUUCACUGCUCCUUGUGUGCAGGCAGAACCUGUGCUGCUUUUGGGAAGGGCAGGGUUAAAGUGCCAUCCUGGGACAGGAAUGCUACAACAGGAAUUAGCAGGUAUGCUGGGGAGCCUGGAAGCAGGUAAGGCAGCUCACUGGAGCUGCUGCUAACAGAUCUGCAAGGAAAGAUAAACAAGGUGCAGAAAAGAGAGAGGGCUGAUGGAUUAAUCUGUGCUUAUGUGUGGUAUAAUCUUCACAUUCAUCUACAGAGGCCAUGAAAAGACCUGCAAGACUUUGGGGGGAGAUACUGAAACGUGAAUGAAAUCACGUGAGGAGGGUUCAGAUUCUGAAGGGAUCAAAUAAACCCUGACCUUCUUCCAGGGUGACUGUGACUCCUGGUGUUCAGCUGUGCAGCUGCUCUCACACUUGGACA